RNAcentral lists this ribosomal RNA (742 nucleotides) under uncultured bacterium. RNAcentral describes it as "bacterial SSU rRNA". It matches the Rfam family "Bacterial small subunit ribosomal RNA", at positions 28 to 766 of the family's 1533-position model. The record is from RNAcentral.
AUUGAACGCUGGCGGCAUGCUUUACACAUGCAAGUCGAACGGCAGCGCGGGCUUCGGCCUGGCGGCGAGUGGCGAACGGGUGAGUAAUAUAUCGGAACGUACCCAAGAGUGGGGGAUAACGUAGCGAAAGUUACGCUAAUACCGCAUACGAUCUACGGAUGAAAGCAGGGGACCGCAAGGCCUUGUGCUCCUGGAGCGGCCGAUAUCUGAUUAGCUAGUUGGUGAGGUAAAGGCUCACCAAGGCAACGAUCAGUAGCUGGUCUGAGAGGACGACCAGCCACACUGGAACUGAGACACGGUCCCAGACUCCUACGGGAGGCAGCAGUGGGGAAUUUUGGACAAUGGGGGCAACCCUGAUCCAGCAAUGCCGCGUGAGUGAAGAAGGCCUCGGGUUGUAAAGCUCUUUUGUCAGGGAAGAAAAGGUCGUGGCUAAUAUCCACGACUGCUGACGGUACCUGAAGAAUAAGCACCGGCUAACUACGUGCCAGCAGCCGCGGUAAUACGUAGGGUGCAAGCGUUAAUCGGAAUUACUGGGCGUAAAGCGUGCGCAGGCGGUUUCGUAAGUCUGUCGUGAAAUCCCCGGGCUUAACCUGGGAAUGGCGAUGGAGACUGCGAGGCUAGAGUUUGGCAGAGGGGGGUAGAAUUCCACGUGUAGCAGUGAAAUGCGUAGAGAUGUGGAGGAACACCGAUGGCGAAGGUAGCCCCUGGGUCAAAACUGACGCUCAUGCACGAAAGCGUGGGG